Brassica napus (rape) is the source of this 3931-nucleotide long non-coding RNA. RefSeq lists it as uncharacterized. The transcript is spliced from 3 exons. The record is from RefSeq and is a predicted model, not a curated record. Lineage: Eukaryota; Viridiplantae; Streptophyta; Magnoliopsida; Brassicales; Brassicaceae.
UCUUCACAACCUUGCACGUUGUAGCAACGUGGGAGGCAUGUGCAAUGUCUACACAUGGAAUACACAUGUACAUUAUAAAGUAGAUAGUUAUACAUAUAAUAUUACUUAUAGAUAUACUCGACUACUUCGGUUUUGCUUAUUUUGUGAAGCCUCAUAAUCUCAUAUCAUCCAAUCUCCCAAUUUCGGUUAUAAUCGUGACCAAGUCCAUAACACAUGUCUAAUCUCAAAAGCAUAUAAAUAUUUUUUUUUUGUGAAAUUAUGAAUGCAAACUAAUUCAUCUAUUUUCAUUUGUGAUAACUUUGUCAUUUUUGGAGAAUUUUACAAUUUUUUUACUAUUUAUAGCUAUUUUUCUAUCACUUUAUCAAAAUAACAUUUUUCACAUAUAUGCUAUCACUAUUCCUUAGAGAUAUAUUUUAAGUAAUCUAUUUCACUUACUACUAAUAUUUCAAUUGAGAAAUAUUUUUUUCAAGUAGUCCUUCUUUUAACUAACUUUGGGUAUUAAUUUUUUUCCUUCUAAAUUCCUAUUUAUUUAGGAAAUUAGUUUAGUUAAAGAAAGCCCCUCCGCGGUAGAAAAAAAUUGGCCAAACAAAAUUGUAGAAAAUAGAUAUGUGCAUCUAUAUUAUUAAAAUAAGAGCAUAGUUUAGACCUAGCUUUUAAUUAUGUGUUAUAUUCCAUAAAAUAUCAUUAAUAAUACUAAAUACUUCUACAAACAACAUUAUAUUAUUUUCUAUAUUUUAAUAAAAUAUCAUGAAUAAUCCAAACAUUUUCCCUUUUCAAUUUGUCUUCGUAAAUAUGAAUUAUUUGUAUUGGAGGGUUUUUCCGCGUAUGGAAAAUCAUUAAUUUGCAUAAAUGUUAUUGUAUAUUUAAAGGACAAAACAACAAAGUUUUCAAUAAUAUUGUUAUGAACCCAAGAAAUACUUUAAUUUUGGUGAAAACUGAAUCAUAACUUUGGGAUGUGGCACAUGCUUCAAUCACACAAAAAAAUAACCCAUUAUAGGGAGAUGGGAGGGACAUGAUUAUCAUCAAUACCGGGACGCUGGUGUUUUAUGGAUGGAUCAUGGAAAAAUCAAGAUAUUUUCUUGAGACCAGAUUGGUACAAUACGCUAGAAGGUUUUGAUGGACUGAUGGGAUCAAGGAAUCCGAGAUCAAGCCUCACAUACCUACAUUCGGAGAUAGAAGCCCUCAUAUAGUCAAUAGAAUGCAUGAGAAAUUUAUGAAAACUUCAAAUCACAUUUACAACAGAUUGUUUUCAAUUAAUGAAGAUAGUUUAAGCACAAAAAUAAUGACAUACCUUUGCAACCUAUUUGGAAGACAUCAAAAUCAUAAGAUGAAGUUUUCACCACUCGGAACUUAUUCAUAUACUUAGAAACACAAAAAUAUAAACUGACUUCUCAAAUAAUAUUAUAGAGAUUUGUAUUGGAAGACUUUUCCGCAUAUGGAAAAUCAUCAAUUUGCAUAAAUUUUAUGGUAUAUUUAAAGGAUGAAACAACAAAGUUUUAUAUUGAUAUGAACCCUAAAAAUACUUUAAUUUUGAUGAAAACUGAAUCAUAACUUUGGGCUGUGGCAAGAAUAACCCAUUAUAUGGAGAUAGAAGGGACAUGAUUACCGUCAAUACCGGGACGCUGGUGUUUUACGGAUGGAUCAUGAAAAGAUGAAGAUAUUUUCUUGAGACAUGAUUGGUACAAUACACUAAAAGGCUUUGAUGGACUGAUAGAAUCAAGGAAUACGAGAUCAAGUCUCUCAUCCCUACAUUCGGAGAUAGAAGCCCUCAUAUAGUCAAUGGAAUGCAUGAGAAAUUUAUGAAACUUUACGUCACAUUUACAACAAAUUGUUUUUAAUUAAUGAAGAUAGUUUAAGAACAAGAAGAAUGACCUAUCUUUGCAACCUAUUUGGAAGACAUCAAGAUCAUAAAAGGAAGUUUUCAACACUCGGAGCUUAUUCAUAUACUUAGACCACAAAAAUACAAACGUGGAUAGUCUUGCGUGCAGUACCUGGAAACAAUCAUCUUUCAUCGUUCAUAUAGAUGCAGAGUUACCAAAGUGGUUUACAAAAUCUUAUUAGAGUCUAUUUAUGUUGAUGACAAAAAAUGUUUCUAAGCAACAAAAUAAUCAAUCUUAUGUCUUAUAAAACGUUAAGUCCCAUAUUUUUUAUAGCUUUUAUUAUUACACUUUUAAAUUAUUUGAUAAAUCAAAUAAUUGACUAAAACAUUCAAAUAAUUUAAAAAUAAAGAAAAGUAUAACUAUAUUCGCAAAUUUAGAUACUACAAAAAAGUUUCAUUUAAUAUGAAAUCAAUUAAAUUAGUCAAAUGAUUUUAUUUAUAUUUCAUUAAAACUAAAUUAUCUUUAUUUUAAUUUAAAUAAGAUUUCAUAUUAAAUAAAAUAUUAUCUACAAAUAAAAUGUUAGAGUCAAUAGAUUGACAUCAAAUAAAAUAAUUAAACAUUAUCAAAAUAUAACACAAUUAAUCAAAUAGAUUAGAGAUAUUUUAUUCAAAUUCAUUACAAAAGGGUUGUAAGGAUUAAACUUGACCUUGAACUUUAAACUUAGAAUGAAUAUGAACCAAAACGUAUUCCCUUUAUUAGAAUCUGAAACCAAACUUGUAUCUCAAACAAUAGAAAACUUUUGAUCUCUAGACAAAAGACUCUAACUCUUGACUUAUAUAUCUCUCUAUUGCAAAGACCCGCAAGGACUAACAAUGACUUAGGUUUCUAUUUAUACUACUAGACUUUUCAUAUCUCCAUCCAUAAUUCUUAUGAUAAAGUUUUUCUUAUUGCAUUAGGCUUCGUAUAAACUUAAAUCGACUUCUUUUGUUGUUGCAGGACUUGGAGUUGGGCCAAGACUAACUAAUUGAGGCCCAUUAGCUCAACAAACUCUACCUUGGGUCUUAAUUACUUCAACUUCUUUUCUCUCAUUUGUUAUCACCGAAGACGUCUCGAGCUCCCCGUCCCCUUCUUCCAUGGACGAUGACGGUUGCGUUGACAUCGAUUCCUCGCGACGAUGGCCUUAACCGAUCAGAUCCUUCGUCAAGGGUCUUCGAUCUUCCACUUUGCCUCACUUCUUGAGGAGAUUCGACUUAGCUCCUCCGUAACUCAGUUUCUUGAACCCAACACCGAUGUUUCUUCGGUGCCGUAUCUCACUUAGAUCCUUGUUCAUCAUAAAAGAAGAUCACGACUUCUUCUUUCGCUUGAGAAAGUGAUUCUCUCAAACCGGCGGAAAUGAGAGAAACUUCACCGGAAAUCUGACAUCCCAUUUUCCGCUUUUUCAGCGAAACCAUAUGCGCCUCCUCCGUUGUAAAAAACGACCCAUUGAGCCUCCUUGUUACCGCUUGAGUUAGUCAUUCCGGUUUCCUGUUUUGGUCUAUCCCAACUUACUCUACCUUAAGCUGAGACCUUCUAGCUUUAGAACUCCUUGCCUUGCAUCUUCCUAGCAGGUCACUUCCUUGUACCUAUUGAGCUUCCUUGUUAUCGAUGAGAAGUAAUAUGAUUGCUCUAACCUUAUUACUUCUUCUUAUGCAAGGUGAAUCGAUAACGAAGUUACCUGCCGUGCCGGUUUCUUAGGCUAUUUUGAAGACUUCACAACAGAGAUCAAUUUUUUUCCCUGGUAAAGCCUUAGUUAGAAAGUCUGAUGGGUUCUUGCUAGUAUGGAUUUUAGAUAGAGUAACACUGCCAUCUUCGACCACAUUUCUGAUGAAAUGAUAUUUAGUGUUAAUGUGCUUAGUUCGUUCGUGAUGAACAUGAUUAUUUGCUAGGGCUAUAGCUCUUUGUGAACCAGAAUUAGUCUUGACACUUUCUUCCUCGAAUCAUAGGUCUUUGCAUAAUCUUCUUAGCCAUAACGCUUCUUUCGCAGCCGCUUUUAAAGCCAUGUACUUAGCUUCGGUUGUCGAAAGAGCUACUAUGUCUUGUAAUCUUGAUUUUCAGCUUAUCCUGUUUCCCCA